ACUCCUACGGGAGGCAGCAGUGGGGAAUAUUGCACAAUGGGCGCAAGCCUGAUGCAGCCAUGCCGCGUGUAUGAAGAAGGCCUUCGGGUUGUAAAGUACUUUCAGCAGUGAGGAAGGUGGAGUCGUUAAUAGCGGCCUCAUUUGACGUUAGCUGCAGAAGAAGCACCGGCUAACUCCGUGCCAGCAGCCGCGGUAAUACGGAGGGUGCGAGCGUUAUCCGGAAUCAUUGGGUUUAAAGGGUCCGUAGGUGGACGAUUAAGUCAGAGGUGAAAUCUUGCAGCUCAACUGUAAAAUUGCCUUUGAUACUGGUUGUCUUGAGUUAUUAUGAAGUGGUUAGAAUAUGUAGUGUAGCGGUGAAAUGCAUAGAUAUUACAUAGAAUACCAAUUGCGAAGGCAGAUCACUAAUAAUAUACUGACACUGAUGGACGAAAGCGUGGGUAGCGAACAGGAUUAGAUACCCUGGUAGGCUCUG
This 472-nucleotide ribosomal RNA is filed under the name uncultured bacterium. Its description in RNAcentral is "bacterial SSU rRNA". It matches the Rfam family "Bacterial small subunit ribosomal RNA", at positions 335 to 799 of the family's 1533-position model. The record is from RNAcentral.